RNAcentral lists this transfer RNA (76 nucleotides) under Staphylococcus aureus M0790. RNAcentral's name for it is "tRNA-Lys". It matches the Rfam family "tRNA". Rfam says of the family: Transfer RNA (tRNA) molecules are approximately 80 nucleotides in length. Their secondary structure includes four short double-helical elements and three loops (D, anti-codon, and T loops). The record is from RNAcentral. RNAcentral also lists the same sequence under 1 other name. Lineage: Bacteria; Bacillati; Bacillota; Bacilli; Caryophanales; Staphylococcaceae.
GAGCCAUUAGCUCAGUUGGUAGAGCAUCUGACUUUUAAUCAGAGGGUCAGAGGUUCGAACCCGUCAUUCUCCACCA